CCUUCCCGCCCAGAGCUGCUCCUGGACGACAGCUGUGCAGAGGACCAGGAUGGGGAGCUGGACGGGCUGUGGACCACCAUCUCCAUCUUCAUCACCCUCUUCCUGCUCAGCGUGUGCUACAGCGCCACGGUCACCCUCUUCAAGGUGAAGUGGAUCUUCUCUUCGGUGGUGGAGCUGAAGCGCACGAUCGUCCCCGACUACAGGAACAUGAUCGGGCAGGGCGCCUAGGGCCAGCCCCCUGGGCGGGCGUCCAGCGCUGCCCCAGACCCCGGUCAGGAUCCCGUGCAUCAGCCUGCUGCCAGGCCUGCUCUUCCGCCCUCGGCCCUCGCCAGCCUCGAACCUCGCGGCUGCCCCGGGCCUGCACCUUCGCCCUCCGACCUCGCGGCCACCGUGAGCUACAUCGUGCCCCUGACCCCCUGUUUGGAGAGCUGAGCGGACGGCAGGUCGUGCCCCAACCUGAGCUGGUGGACGCCUGUGGGCCCCUCCACAGAGGCUGCCAGGGUACCGCUGGGGCCGCAUGGACUCAGGCACUGGGGCCAUGCGCAUGGUCAGCACACAUGCUCAUCUUGGAGGAGGCGGACGGCUGGCGAUCCCAGUGUCUGUCUGCUGGGGACCAGCCUCUGUGUGAACCCCAUUCAGGCCAGGCUCCAGGAUGCAGGGCCCCAGAGCAGCCACGCCCAGAUCCUGAAGGGGCUUCAUGUGUGCCACUAAUGGUCAGUCAGACCUCCGCCAGAGAAGACCACGCAGAGAAUGGCCUGGCCUGUGGCCGCUGAAGAACCCCGUGGAUACAGGGUACAGAAUGACAUCCAGCCAGAGAGGCCUCCUGGAGAAUGGGCUGGUGUCCUGGUCCCCGGGCCAGUGGGACACAGCCUCGGUGGACAGAGGUGGAAGGUGCCAGGAGGCCAGGGUGGCAGGCCCUGGAGCUGGGGGCCGGGUGGGCCUCCAGGACUGGCUGUCUGCCCCAUCUCUGAGUGACAGCCACUCGGGGCCCCCGCAUGGGAAGAGACGGCCAUGCAGGGAGGAGAAGCAGAGCCCCGCCCCCAGGGAGAGAGCGCCCAGCUCCCACGAAGGAAGGCCACUGCUAUAGCUUGGGUAGCUUGUUUGAUUCUUCUAAAAUUUCUGGAGCUUGUUAAUUUCCCUUAGCGUUUUGGGUUUUUUUAAUGACAAUAAAGCAGCCUUGAAAGCUCCA
This is a non-coding RNA of Suricata suricatta (meerkat), 1189 nucleotides long. Lineage: Eukaryota; Metazoa; Chordata; Mammalia; Carnivora; Herpestidae. The record is from the annotation of a RefSeq genome assembly.